Pteropus vampyrus (large flying fox) is the source of this 112-nucleotide ribosomal RNA. The record is from Ensembl. Lineage: Eukaryota; Metazoa; Chordata; Mammalia; Chiroptera; Pteropodidae.
CUCUAUGGCCAUGCCACCCUGAAUAAGUCCGAUACCAUCUGAUCUUGGAAACUAAGCAGGGUCGGGCUUAGAUGGAUGGGAGACCACCUAGGAAGACCAGGUGCUGUAGGUG